Molecule: unclassified non-coding RNA, 231 nt
Filed under: fungal sp.
Lineage: Eukaryota; Fungi
Description: partial internal transcribed spacer region
Rfam family: Eukaryotic small subunit ribosomal RNA (bases 1-46)
Source: RNAcentral
AAGUCGUAACAAGGUUUCCGUAGGUGAACCUGCGGAAGGAUCAUUAACAAAUUCAAAACUCGUGUUUGGCUUGUUGCAGCAUGCGUGAAGGUAAGGGUAAUUCCUGCCUGAGCGUAUGUGGUGACAAGUCAGCUUAUACACAAAACUUACAUUUACUAUAACAAUACAACCAAAGGAAAUCCGAAAUGAUUAAAUUGUAAACAACUUUUAACAAUGGAUCUCUAGGCUCUU